This 44-nucleotide small RNA is filed under the name Arabidopsis thaliana (thale cress). Its description in RNAcentral is "ATSL013980". The record is from RNAcentral. Lineage: Eukaryota; Viridiplantae; Streptophyta; Magnoliopsida; Brassicales; Brassicaceae.
CAACCACGAAGAAGAGGAAGAAGAACUCUGAUGAUGACGACUCA